GCUGAAUUGCGAUAGUGGUUUAUUCGGCGAGACUUGAAUUUCAUCUCGAUAUAUUGUUGAUCUCGUGCCGUCAGGCUCGCAGGUUCGAACCCUGCAUUCAGCU
This is a non-coding RNA of Kwoniella dejecticola CBS 10117, 103 nucleotides long. NCBI's taxonomy places the organism in Eukaryota, Fungi, Basidiomycota, Tremellomycetes, Tremellales, Cryptococcaceae. The record is from the annotation of a GenBank genome assembly.